UAUGGCCAUAUCACAUUGAAACACUGGUUCUUGUAUGAUCACCAAAGUUAAGCAAUGUUGAGUCUGGUCAGUAGUUGGUAUGGGUGACCAAUUUGGAAUGCCACGUGCUGUAAG
Molecule: non-coding RNA, 114 nt
Organism: Acanthosepion pharaonis
Lineage: Eukaryota; Metazoa; Mollusca; Cephalopoda; Sepiida; Sepiidae
Source: the annotation of a GenBank genome assembly